Long non-coding RNA from Crotalus tigris (Tiger rattlesnake), 1935 nucleotides. RefSeq lists it as uncharacterized. The record is from RefSeq and is a predicted model, not a curated record. Lineage: Eukaryota; Metazoa; Chordata; Lepidosauria; Squamata; Viperidae. The transcript is spliced from 4 exons.
UAAAGUUUUUGAAAUGUUACUUCAUUCUAAAUUUUCUCUAUCUUGCUUUUAUCUCUAGAAUAAACACAGUGACUGAGAAACCAGAAUUUGAACAUCAGUGAAAAAAAAAUAGUAAAAACUGAAGCUGCAACAUGCAACCCAAAUUUAAUUUGAUAUCACACAUAUAGGGUCCGAGUAGUAAAACUGCAGGAUGAGCAAUCAAUAGGCAGAAUGAAAGACAGAGGCACCGUCUGUUCCUGGAACAGCAACCAGCAGUUGAGAUACUAUUUUUUGCAAUGGUUGACUAAAUAUGGUCAGGGAAGAGAGAGGCAAAAGACAGCCUGGGAGUGGAUGUUUCAAAUGCCUGGCUGCCUAUAAAGCUGAAAUAGUUUUGCUAGUGCACGGAGUAGAAAUGGAUUCAUGGGAAACAGCAUAUAUGUGGAAAUCCUGACCUCAAAAGCAGUGUUUGACCUCUAAAAAUGAAAAAUAACUACAAGCAACUUGUCUGGGAACUAAAAUUCAAGCAUGAAGAAAUCAAGUCCUUUAUCUAUGGAGAAAGAAACAAUACUUGCUUCCGAAGGGGGAGGGGGGAAAUGGAUAAAGGUGUAUGCCGGGUUUUGUUUUUUUUUUUUUACAAACUAAUGAACAUUUUUGAAUUAUUUUCAAUUAUCUGAACAAGAUGAGAUUAUCCUUCUUUGGGUUUUUCUAGCCUCUACCUUGGAUAUUUCUGUUUUCUGUCCUGUAGGUUCAAGAAACUUAGUUCUAUGCACAACACCUUAAUGGAUAGGAAAAAAACAACAGAUACCUCAGCUGAAUCAGUGAUAGAGUGAACAUUCAAGAUGAGAUGGCUGCUGCUGAUGUCUCUCUCUAGGUCAUACAACUGCAAAUGCUGCAUGAUAAGCUUACAGACCAGAAGCUAAUGUAAUUUCAGCACUGGUGAUGGAUGAUCAUCCUUUACCUGAACUUUAAGAAUUUUGGAACUAAUUAGACAGCUGAUAUGGCAUGAACAGUUUUGCUAUCAACAGAGGAAAUAACCUGGAACACAGAAGGAAAACCUAAAGGGACUACUGUUGGUGGUCCACAUUCACUCCAGUAUUCACUGCCUAAGAAAUUCAUUUCCAUGCCCAGGGUGAAGCUAUAACAAGAACCGGCAAUUCUCAGAUUGGAUAAAACCAUUAUGUAAACAACAAAUGAUGUUUCAUAAUCUCAAGUACAGGAAGAUGUUCAAAUAUCUCCAGAUGCAAAAAAGCAGAAGAAAAGCCUAGAAUUUAAAUGGAGGAAGAGGGGGAGAAGGAGGAGGAGAUCUAUGUUCUGUAGUUUAUAGAUUUUCUCCACACAUGUGGCUUUUAUCUUUCUGCAAGAAAGCAGUUCAUCCUGCAAUGUUGUAUUUAUGAGUCUAUGGUUUGUUUGUAGAAUCAAUAUUUAUUGCUGUGCUUGCCAUAAAGUCUAGUACCAUUUUACUCUGUUGAAACAGCUAGCCUUCUUUAGUAACGUAAGAAAGUAAAAUAUGAGAUAGUGAUCACUACUAACUGAAAGUUUUUAAAAGGGACAAAUUUAUCGUUCCCUAUUAGCUAUAAUAGCUUAAGAAAUCUUCAGAUUUAAAUGCAAUUGGUCUAAAAAUAACAGAUACAGAAUGAAAUUAGUUAUGAGACUUAUAUUUAUGUUUUAACUGUGCAUUUUGGGGAUUUGGGGUUAGACUUUGGAUCUUAUCCAUUAUGGCACACAGAUGGGAUCUCAUAGAUAAUGUUUCUAUCUUCUACAGAAGCUCAAGUUAUAGUUAAAGCUGAUUCUUCACUUUCUGCAUAUGAACAAAAUAAAGAAUUAAAUUAGUAGCAACUACAAAUAGGGUGACAAAAAUGUAUGCAACAUCUUUUCUUUUUCCAUUAAAUUAACACUCACUGUUCUAAAACAUAAAUUAAGCUACAGUCCGAAUAAAAAUACCAUUAAAUCACAAGA